CUUUUGAAUCUGAGGGUCUCUUCUUGAAUGCGGAGUUGAUGAGCAGCGUGUUGGCCUUAGGGACAUCUGUGUCCCAGCACUGAUCCUUCCAGGAUGUGGCUUCUCCUGUCCAGGGCCUCAGGCCUCCUCCACUUCAGAGAGGAGCAUACUCCAGACUUUAUGCAUGCAGUCUGGUGGGAGGCAUCACAAAGCUGGCGUGGCAAAGCCCUAAGAUGCCAGGUCACAGGACACACGGAGCUGCCAAGGCCCUCUACCCCAUAGCUCUGGUGAGAGACCCCAGGCCCCUUAGAACCUCUUUGGGCCCCCUGCCGUGAGGCAAGAGCCCCUCUCCAGACACCCCUCGCCCGGGAGCAGCUGGACCCAGCCUGCCUUCUCCAGCCCCGGGGCGGCUGCUUAGCCCCAGGUGCCGUUAACAAUGGCCGGCCUGUGUCAGGGUCCCCAUUCACCAUGUGCACAGGAAGCCCAGCUCGGGCCAUGCAUCUGAUUUUGCACCAGCUCCUGCCCAGCCCACCUGAGAAUGCAGAUGUUUGGAUCCAGUGGGGAAUGUGUUCCUGCUCCAUGCUCCCAAUUUCAGAACAAACUUUGAGCUGAGCUACAGCUUUCUCAUUGAUCCCCUUCUAGUCUUCUGAACAAAUUAGUCUGUGAUUUUUUAUUUUUUUCCAUUUAUUGCUGACCCUUUUGGAUUUAUGAGGCCGUGUGAGAGGAAUUAUGUAUCUCACACACACGCAUCUGGCAUGACGAUAAAUCUCCACCACUGAAGCCCCGCAGAUUUGCAGCGAAUCUGAUGGCUCCCAGGCUCGCUGCCACGUGGUUGGUGCUGACGUGCGGCGCAAUGCGGUGGCGGCUGCAGUCACAGCUGGAACCAGCGUGACUUUCCCUGGGAGCCCAGCAGGUGCCUCGCGUCGCUGGCAGGUGGUAGGGUGCCCUUGAAGGGGGCUGGUCGUGAGGAACGAAGGAAAACCCGGGCCAGGGCUUCCAAGGACAGCGGCCCUGGAGGGGGCCGGAGCCGUCAGGUUACUCUGAGCACCGGAGAAAAAGCCGCUUCAGCAGAGGUGUAAACGCAUUUAAUCUCCCAACAGGACAUAUACAGAGCGGAGGGCUUUGGCAUUCAGAUAUAUUGACCGGGCAAGAUGGUAAUCCAAGGUUCCUCCCCUUCAAGGUCUCCUGCUGUAUUUGCCUGGGCUCUGAUCUGUCGUCACCGCUUGGGCCAAUAAAUCUUGAUACCAGCCUCCAGA
Molecule: long non-coding RNA, 1235 nt
Filed under: Homo sapiens (human)
Lineage: Eukaryota; Metazoa; Chordata; Mammalia; Primates; Hominidae
Description: non-protein coding lnc-CCDC187-1:38
Source: RNAcentral